Gallus gallus (chicken) is the source of this 1772-nucleotide long non-coding RNA. NCBI's taxonomy places the organism in Eukaryota, Metazoa, Chordata, Aves, Galliformes, Phasianidae. The record is from Ensembl.
AUCUUAUGAAUAUUCACUUGUUGAAUUUACAUUUUGUUUUUCAUCUCGGAGCUUCUAGAACAGAGCCUUACACAGAGGACAGCCUUCCCAUCUGUCUGAAUAAACUCUGAUGGAAAACAUUUUGUGAAAACAGUACCUUGUUGUUUUGUGUGUCCAUAGUCUUUGGUUGGUUUCUUUUGGAACACUUUGAAAGUCCAGCCUUUGUCACAUGCAAGCUCUAAUAAUCUAGGACUUGAGUAGAAUUUUGAUCUUCUGUUCAUCCUUGAAUGUGUUUACAGUGAUGGAGAUGAAAGUGUAACUGAUAAUGUAAUUUGACCUUGGGAGCCUGAGGCUAUUUGAGUAGCUGCUCUCAAUGAGUUCUUGAUAGACCUGGGAAAGAGCAAAUGCAUUUAAUGUAUGCUUGUCAGGUGUCUGGAGUGGAUGGUCUGGAACUGCAGAGAGGAUCAUCCUUCAGAAUGGAGUGUUAUCACUGGAGCUUAUGUGGGCACCCUCUUCUCCAUGUCGACAUUUCAGCCGCAGAUGUCAUGCUUCAUGAUCUUGUUGAGAGCAUUAGCAAUUGCAGUUGGUCCCCUGCUUUCAUAUACACUGAAAUCAUUUUCAAAAGAAUGAAAGAUAUAAAUAAGGGUAUGCGUUCUUUACAACCGCCCUUUCCCCCAGCCCCUGGAAUGCUUGAUUGCUUCUAGACAGAGGAUUUGUCGAGUUGUGUUAUUUUGUUCUCAUUUACUUUCUUUUCCAGUUAUGUAUCAAGUUAUUUCCUAAUAUGGUUUCAUAUGAUGGCUAAUGGUACAGAAUUGAUGCAAUUGCUCCAAAAAAGGCUUUUAGCCAGUAGAUUCUAAUUAAAGCAACUUUUUUUUUUUUUUCCAGAGGAGAAAAAAAAAGUCCUUCCAGGAGCCCACUUUCUUUGUAUCAGAUGAAUAUAUAUGCAGUAAUUUGCCAGCUUAUUGGAGACAGAAGCUGAAAUAUGCUCGGAGCAGUUAUAUUCAACCAUAUGGAACUCUGACUGGGAGAGCCUUGCAAUGGGACAGCAGCCAGAAGGGCACCUGAGCAGCAGAGCACUUUGGUAGCAGUGAGAAAAGUCAAUACGGGUUCUGAUAGCGCAGCAGCACUCAGCAGGCUCAUCGCUUUCUCUGACCUACAGUGCUGACAUCCAAACUGAAAGGACUACAUUUAAGUGUCAAAGAGAUUCCCAGCCAUCUGGUGCCUCACCAGCUGCUCUCGGUGCAGGAUGAAACUUAUCUCAAUUCAGGAACCCAGGCCUCGGGCAGUGGGGUGGAAGGAGCAUCGCUGGCCUCGCAAGUGCUGUCUGCAGGAUGCGCGCCCAGACUGGCUUCUGUGAUGUCCUUCCUUCAACAACCCGUGCACUUGGGCACCUGGACAGCAGUGAGUAGCAGCCUUGCUGAUGGAAAGAAGAUGCUGUCUGGAUGACUGGUUCCCAUGGAAAGCAAGGAAGCUCCCCGGCCGUGGCUGUUGUGCAUGUUGGAGGAGAUGCAUCACUGAAGGAUUAAAAUACAACUGCUGUGAGCUGGGAAGCAAAGCAGGCCAGGACUAGAAGCUGCCGUGGAAGGAGAGGUAGGACAUUAAUGGAUGCUGUACAUGCAAUGAGACUGGUUAGAAUGCACAGCCUCUGUACUGAGUUUGAAUAACUGAUGCUGAGUGGCCGUUUCUUUCAGUACGUUAAAAAUACUCCAGUUUCUCCAUAAAGUCAAGAAAUGCAACUGCAGUUGCCUAGCACAGAUGUGGAUGACUGUCCUCCCUAAGAGCCCUGGUAGGAG